GAUGACUGUGUGCCAGCAGCCGCUGGAAUACAGGUGUCCCGGGGGUGUUGCGGGUUCAAGGGGCGUAAAGUGAGUGUAGGGGGUGAGGUAAGUCGGAGGUGAAAUCGCCGAGCUCAACUCGGAAAUGGCAUUGGAAACUACCGUGCUCGAGGGUUGGAGGGGGGACUGGAAUACUUGGUGUAGCAGUGAAAUGCGUAGAUAUCAAGUGGAACACCAGUGGCGAAGGCGAGUCCCUGGACAACUCCUGACACUGAGGCACGAAAGCUAGGGGAGCAAACAGGAUUAGAUACCCGGGUAGUC
RNAcentral lists this ribosomal RNA (300 nucleotides) under uncultured Pyrobaculum sp. Its description in RNAcentral is "bacterial SSU rRNA". It matches the Rfam family "Bacterial small subunit ribosomal RNA", at positions 496 to 795 of the family's 1533-position model. Lineage: Archaea; Thermoproteati; Thermoproteota; Thermoprotei; Thermoproteales; Thermoproteaceae. The record is from RNAcentral.